RNAcentral lists this ribosomal RNA (253 nucleotides) under uncultured bacterium. RNAcentral's name for it is "partial 16S ribosomal RNA". It matches the Rfam family "Bacterial small subunit ribosomal RNA", at positions 524 to 776 of the family's 1533-position model. The record is from RNAcentral.
UACGAAGGGGGCGAGCGUUGUUCGGAAUCACUGGGCGUAAAGGGCGCGUAGGCGGCCCUCUUAGUCGCGUGUGAAAGCCCCGGGCUUAACCUGGGAACGGCGCGCGAAACGGGAGGGCUGGAGUUCGGGAGAGGAGAGUGGAAUUCCCAGUGUAGAGGUGAAAUUCGUAGAUAUUGGGAAGAACACCGGUGGCGAAGGCGGCUCACUGGCCCGGUACUGACGCUGAGGUGCGAAAGCGUGGGGAGCAAACAGG